AACGUAGGUGGCAAGCGUUAUCCGGAUUUACUGGGCGUAAAGGGUGUGCAGGCGGGGGUGCAAGUGGGGUUUGAAAUCUCCCGGCUUAACCGGGAGGGGUUAUGCCAGACUGCAAUUCUAGAGGACGAGAGAGGGGGGUGGAAUUCCGGGUGUAGUGGUGAAAUGCGUAGAGAUCCGGAGGAACCCCAGAGGCGAAGGCGGCCCCCUGGCUCGUACCUGACGCUCAGCCACGAAAGCAUGGGGAGCGAACGGG
This 253-nucleotide ribosomal RNA is filed under the name uncultured bacterium. RNAcentral describes it as "partial 16S ribosomal RNA". It matches the Rfam family "Bacterial small subunit ribosomal RNA", at positions 524 to 776 of the family's 1533-position model. The record is from RNAcentral.